Molecule: non-coding RNA, 24 nt
Filed under: Arabidopsis thaliana (thale cress)
Lineage: Eukaryota; Viridiplantae; Streptophyta; Magnoliopsida; Brassicales; Brassicaceae
Source: RNAcentral
CUUGUAGUUGUCACAUAGCUGCCC